RNAcentral lists this ribosomal RNA (288 nucleotides) under uncultured bacterium. Its description in RNAcentral is "partial 16S ribosomal RNA". It matches the Rfam family "Bacterial small subunit ribosomal RNA", at positions 773 to 1060 of the family's 1533-position model. The record is from RNAcentral.
GUGGAUUAGAUACCCUAGUAGUCCACGCCGUAAACGAUGGGCACUAGGUGUGGGAGGUGUCGACUCCUCCCGUGCCGGCGCUAACGCAUUAAGUGCCCCGCCUGGGGAGUACGGCCGCAAGGCUAAAACUCAAAGGAAUUGACGGGGGCCCGCACAAGCAGCGGAGCAUGUGGUUUAAUUCGACGCAACGCGAAGAACCUUACCUGGGUUUGACAUGUUGGUGACAGGUGUGGAAACACACCCUUCCUUCGGGACACCAUCACAGGUGGUGCAUGGCUGUCGUCAACU